Molecule: non-coding RNA, 28 nt
Filed under: Bombyx mori (domestic silkworm)
Lineage: Eukaryota; Metazoa; Arthropoda; Insecta; Lepidoptera; Bombycidae
Source: RNAcentral
UGACCUCUGCGACCCGUGUGAUGCCGUC